AGAAUCAAAGCGUUUGAAACAAAAGUAUUAUUAUGUAAAUAAUAAAAAACAAUAUUUCAAUACAAGUCUUUCAAAAGUAUUCUGGAAUUAACGGAUGCAAUUUGGUAAAACUUGGUUUAGACUAAUAAGUAGGGCACACCGUUCGGACCAUCGACAGAAUAACGUUCGUGUUUUUCAGAUUUCAAGACAUAGAUUUGCUGAUGAAUAACAUCGCAAAGAUCUUGGUGUAUUGUCUUCGUACAUGGCCACAACAACCCUUCAAAUAGACCAGACUAAACUUAAUUAACUUGACCACCAUAUUAACAUUCAAGAAGUUCGGCCUACAUGUCAGAUUUAUGAAUGUGAACAGCAGGAUAUCGAUUUUAAGGAUGCUUUAGGGUCAAUGACAAUGAAAUCAUGAGAGAUAAAGGCUAAAAUGUGAGACUGUCAAUCUGACUAACCUUGAAGUGAAUAAAUGGAAAAAUGUUUCUUUCAAUAGCAUGGGCAUUUAAGGAAGAGGAAACAGAGGCGCUUAUAUGAUAGAACAGAUAAAGCAGGAGUGAUAAGGAAAGAUAC
Long non-coding RNA from Ruditapes philippinarum (Manila clam), 555 nucleotides. RefSeq lists it as uncharacterized. The transcript has 4 exons. The record is from RefSeq and is a predicted model, not a curated record. NCBI's taxonomy places the organism in Eukaryota, Metazoa, Mollusca, Bivalvia, Venerida, Veneridae.